RNAcentral lists this ribosomal RNA (392 nucleotides) under uncultured bacterium. Its description in RNAcentral is "bacterial SSU rRNA". It matches the Rfam family "Bacterial small subunit ribosomal RNA", at positions 30 to 424 of the family's 1533-position model. The record is from RNAcentral.
AUUGAACGCUGGCGGCAUGCCUUACACAUGCAAGUCGAACGGCAGCACGGGAGCAAUCCUGGUGGCGAGUGGCGAACGGGUGAGUAAUAUAUCGGAACGUGCCCGGUCGUGGGGAUAACGUAGCGAAAGCUACGCUAAUACCGCAUACGAUCUACGGAUGAAAGCGGGGGAUCGCAAGACCUCGCGCGAUUGGAGCGGCCGAUAUCAGAUUAGGUAGUUGGUGAGGUAAAGGCUCACCAAGCCGACGAUCUGUAGCUGGUCUGAGAGGACGACCAGCCACACUGGGACUAAGACACGGCCCAGACUCCUACGGGAGGCAGCAGUGGGGAAUUUUGGACAAUGGGCGCAAGCCUGAUCCAGCAAUGCCGCGUGCAGGAUGAAGCCUUCGGGUU